Molecule: ribosomal RNA, 729 nt
Filed under: uncultured bacterium
Lineage: Bacteria
Description: bacterial SSU rRNA
Rfam family: Bacterial small subunit ribosomal RNA
Source: RNAcentral
AAAGGGGCCCGCAAGGGUCUCACUGAAGGAGGGGUCCGCGUCCGAUUAGCUAGUUGGUAGGGUAAUGGCCUACCAAGGCGACGAUCGGUAGCCGGCCUGAGAGGGUGAUCGGCCACACUGGAACUGAGACACGGUCCAGACUCCUACGGGAGGCAGCAGUGGGGAAUUUUGCGCAAUGGGCGGAAGCCUGACGCAGCAACGCCGCGUGGAGGAUGAAGGUCCUUGGAUCGUAAACUCCUGUCAGCGGGGAAAAAGGGAGGCGACCUCAUACGUCGUCAACUUGAUUGUACCCGCAGAGGAAGCCCCGGCUAACUCUGUGCCAGCAGCCGCGGUAAUACAGAGGGGGCAAGCGUUAUUCGGAAUUAUUGGGCGUAAAGGGCGCGUAGGCGGCUUUGCAAGUGACGGGUGAAAUCCCUCGGCUUAACCGAGGAACUGCCUGUCAAACUGCAUGGCUUGAGACCGGGAGAGGUGAGUGGAAUUCCCAGUGUAGCGGUGAAAUGCGUAGAUAUUGGGAGGAACACCAGUGGCGAAGGCGGCUCACUGGACCGGUACUGACGCUGAGGCGCGAAAGCGUGGGUAGCAAACAGGAUUAGAUACCCUGGUAGUCCACGCCGUAAACGAUGAGUGCUUGGUGUAGCGGGUAUCGACCUCUGCUGUGCCGAAGUCAACACAUUAAGCACUCCGCCUGGGGAGUACGGUCGCAAGACUGAAACUCAAAGGAAUUGACGG